UGUCCAGACUCCUACGGGAGGCAGCAGUGGGGAAUAUUGCACAAUGGGGGAAACCCUGAUGCAGCGACGCCGCGUGAGUGAAGAAGUAUUUCGGUAUGUAAAGCUCUAUCAGCAGGGAAGAAGUUGACGGUACCUGAGUAAGAAGCCCCGGCUAACUACGUGCCAGCAGCCGCGGUAAUACGUAGGGGGCAAGCGUUAUCCGGAUUUACUGGGUGUAAAGGGAGCGUAGACGGCAGUGCAAGUCUGAAGUGAAAGCCCUGGGCUUAACCCGGGAAUUGCUUUGGAAACUGUACGGCUGGAGUGCUGGAGAGGUAAGCGGAAUUCCUAGUGUAGCGGUGAAAUGCGUAGAUAUUAGGAGGAACACCAGUGGCGAAGGCGGCUUACUGGACAGUAACUGACGUUGAGGCUCGAAAGCGUGGGGAGCAAACAGGAUUAGAUACCCUUGUA
Molecule: ribosomal RNA, 447 nt
Filed under: uncultured bacterium
Lineage: Bacteria
Description: bacterial SSU rRNA
Rfam family: Bacterial small subunit ribosomal RNA
Source: RNAcentral